GCUUCCCAAAGAAAUGGUGGAGGUUUGUGAUGCAGACAUGGAUGGUGAUGCCACCUGCUUGCUGCCUGGCUCUGUGGUCGAUUGCAGUGCAGCUAUUGGCAUUGAAGACACUCUUACUCACUUGGAGGAUCACAGUGGUAGUUUGGUACCUUGUGGUGAGUUUUGUGCUUGCAUUCUUUUGAGAGUGCACCCGAGGGUCACGGGAUGGAAUCCCGACUGCGGCAGCCGCAUUUUCGAGGGAGAUAAAAAUGCAUGGGGGGGGGGACCGUGUAUAAAGAGCCCCAGGUGGUCCAAAUUUCCGCAGCCCCAGACUACAAUGUCCCUUAUAUCAU
This is a long non-coding RNA of Rhipicephalus sanguineus (brown dog tick), 332 nucleotides long. RefSeq lists it as uncharacterized. The record is from RefSeq and is a predicted model, not a curated record. NCBI's taxonomy places the organism in Eukaryota, Metazoa, Arthropoda, Arachnida, Ixodida, Ixodidae. The transcript has 3 exons.